AACGAACGCUGGCGGCAUGCCUAACACAUGCAAGUCGAACGAGACCUUCGGGUCUAGUGGCGCACGGGUGCGUAACGCGUGGGAACCUUCCCUUAGGUUCGGAAUAACUCCCCGAAAGGGGUGCUAAUACCGGAUAAUGUCUUCGGACCAAAGAUUUAUCGCCUUUGGAUGGGCCCGCGUUGGAUUAGCUAGUUGGUAGGGUAAAAGCCUACCAAGGCGACGAUCCAUAGCUGGUCUGAGAGAAUGAUCAGCCACACUGGGACUGAGACACGGCCCAGACUCCUACGGGAGGCGGCAGUGGGGAAUAUUGGACAAUGGGCGAAGGCCUGAUCCAGCAAUGCCGCGUGAGUGAUGAAGGCCUUAGGGUUGUAAAGCUCUUUUACCCGGGAUGAUAAUGACAGUACCGGGAGAAUAAGCUCCGGCUAACUCCGUG
Molecule: ribosomal RNA, 433 nt
Filed under: uncultured bacterium
Lineage: Bacteria
Description: partial 16S ribosomal RNA
Rfam family: Bacterial small subunit ribosomal RNA
Source: RNAcentral